AUCAAUUUUUGUGCUCUUCCAUCCAUCAACUCUGUAUAUUCUUUAAGAAGCUGAGCUGAUGAUUCUCUACUUGUUGGGGCUAUCUUUUCGGCAACAUCUUCAUUCUGAUCAGAUGAAUGCAUACUUCAGCAAAUUAUACGGAUAAAAAAAAUAACCAUAUCAUUGUUAAUUUGAUGAGUACUUACGUUUUUAAUUCUAGAGUACUUAUGUUGCAAGCUUUUGAUAUCUUUCUUGAGAUUUGUAAUUUUAUCUGUACUCUCACGUAUUUUUGCAUCGCACUCUUCAAAGUUAGCCUUCCUUUGUCCCUCUAGAAACAAAAACAACUUGAGUGUGCAUAAAAUUAAAUCAUUUGUCCGGUAGAGUUAAAGAUGAGCCACAAGUUGGUGAUGGAGAAUGAGAAUGCGCGUGCAUGAGGCUUCGUGGAAUCGUAAAACUUGACCCCAGAGCAUCCAGUUAGCAGCUGAAUUAGCGACGCGGUUCAUUCACUGAGCACUCGUGACUAUGGCGUGCAAACCAAGCAAUGCAAAAGUAUAACGAAGAUAGAAAAGGCAGAAAAGAAGAAGAUAGUAGCACAUCACUUUGAUGAAAGACAGAAAGAUUACUUUCCUGAUGAAUUGACAAGAGAGGAUCAGCCAUGUUUUGGAUUUAUAGCUAGAGAAUAAAUAUCGACACAACUUAAGUCGUCCAGACAACGGUGUUUGAUCAAACCCUGACAUUUCUUCA
Long non-coding RNA from Chelonus insularis, 723 nucleotides. RefSeq lists it as uncharacterized. The record is from RefSeq and is a predicted model, not a curated record. NCBI's taxonomy places the organism in Eukaryota, Metazoa, Arthropoda, Insecta, Hymenoptera, Braconidae. The transcript is spliced from 3 exons.